GCGUCGGGACGCCUGUGUUGAUGGUGGUUUCUGCGAGAAAAGUCAAAACACGGUCAAGCUGGGAUUCCACUUUCCAGGGUUGAACUCGCUUGACCAAAAACGCAACGUUUAUCACGCCAAGAAGGGACGGCUGCGAUCGCUUCUCACCACGGACGGUCCAGACGAACUCAAUCGGAAAGGAAAUGAAAACUCACCCUUCUUUUUAGCUUUGUUGGACUUGAGGCCGUGGCUGAAGGCCCAUCACGUCGCGCGAUUCAUCUAACGGCACACAUCAGAAGAGUAGUGCAGCCUAACUGCUCUUUUAGAAAGCCGGCGCUCCGAUCAUCACUUUGUCUUUCUCGUGCUCUUUCUUCGAAGUCUGCGGCAGGGAAGUUUUCAGUCCAGGAUGGGCCCGUUAUAUAGAGGGGAAUCUACGAGAAUUCAUAAACCUAGAGGGCGCCAUCAUGGAUUGAGCCAACAGAAGAAGCAGGAGAUUAGGGAAGCAUUUGAAUUAUUUGACACGGAUUGUUCAGGUACCAUUGAUGCCAAGGAGCUGAAUGUUGCCAUGAGGGCCCUUGGUUUUGAGAUGACAGAAGAGCAAAUUAAUCAAAUGAUAGCAGACGUGGAUAAGGAUGGCAGUGGGGCAAUUGAAUAUGAUGAGUUCGAGCACAUGAUGACAGCCAAAAUUGGAGAAAGGGACACUAUGGAAGAGCUAAUGAAAGCUUUCCAGAUUAUUGAUCAAGAUGGAAAUGGAAAGAUAUCUGAAGCAGACAUUCGGAGCAUUGCAAAAGAGCUAGGUGAAAGUUUUACUGUCAGGGAAAUUCAGGAUAUGAUUGAGGCAGCAGACCUCGAUCUUUAUGGGUUCUAUAUAAAGAAAAGGCUGCUACUCCCCACAUAAAAAGGGGGAAAAAAAUGCUUAAGCAACAUAGCAGUCUAGUUUAAAUAGCAUAUUGCGAUGUUGGAGAGAAAAGGGGGCAGGUUGUAUGAAGGGGCCGGUAAAAUUACUAUGAUGGGGAGGUGAAUGCAGAGGAGUUCAUCGGGAUGAUGAAGAGAACUAGCUAUGGUUACUAGUAAUAUGAAUAUCCAAGCGGCCUGCGAGUAAAAGGAAUAAAAUUAUAUCGAACAGAAGCGGCAAAAUGUUAUGGGGACAAUUGUGAUCGUGUUUUGCCCGUAAAUAGCGAUAGCAAUUUAAUAAAUAAUAAUAAUAAUAAAAGUUGGCUUGUGGGCAAAUACUCAGUACUCUAUCAUUGUACAAGUUAGAAGUUUAGAACCUUGGGGCUUGCAUGAUCGGAUGCAACUUGAGAUUGAAUUAUUAUUAUUUUUUUAAGCCAAAUGAAUGUACUUGUAUA
Molecule: RNA transcript, 1328 nt
Organism: Neltuma alba
Lineage: Eukaryota; Viridiplantae; Streptophyta; Magnoliopsida; Fabales; Fabaceae
Gene name: caltractin
Exons: 8
Source: RefSeq, a predicted model, not a curated record